RNAcentral lists this long non-coding RNA (785 nucleotides) under Gallus gallus (chicken). RNAcentral describes it as "lncRNA (ENSGALG00010003653.1)". Lineage: Eukaryota; Metazoa; Chordata; Aves; Galliformes; Phasianidae. The record is from RNAcentral.
UGGUCAACCAUUGCACUUUUUGGCCACUACAGAUGAACUGCUGGUCAACUACUGGGCAACCAUUGCUCUUUUUGGCCACCAGGGCACACUGCUACCUCAUGAGCAACCAUUGGUCAACUACAGAUGAACUGUUGGUUGACCAUUGGUCAACCAUGGAUCUUUUUGGCCACUACAGAUGAGCUGCUGGUCAACUACUGGUCAACCAUGGGUCUUUUUGGCCACCAGGGCACACUGCAGCCUCAUGGGCCACCGUUGGUCAACCACUGUUCCACUAUUAGUCAACUACUGGUCUUCUUGGCAACCAGGGCACACUGCUGCCUCGUGAGCAACCAUUGGUCAACUACUGAUGAACUGCUGGUCAACCACUGGUCAACUAUGGGUCUUUAUGGCCACCAGGGCACAGAGCAGCAUAAUGGGCAACUAUUGGUCAACUACUGAUGAACUGCUGGUCAACUAUUGGUCAACCAUGGAUCUUUUUGGCCACUACAGAUGAACUGAUGGUCAACUACUGGUCAACCAUUGCUCUUCUUGGCAACCAGGCCAUACUGCUGCCUCGUGAGCAACCAUUGGUCAACUACAGAUGAACUGUUGGUCAACCACUGGUCAACCAUGGGUCUUUUUGGCCACCAGGGCACACUGCAGCCUCAUGGGCAACCUGUGGUCAACUACUGGUCAGCUGCUGGUCAACUACUGGGCAACCAUUGCUCUUUUUGGCCACCAAGGCACACGGCUGCCUCAUGGGCCACUGUUGGUCAACCACUGUUCCACUAUUAGUCAACUACUGG